GGGCUGCUGCGGGACCGGCUGCGAGAGGCGGGCGGCGGCAGGAGGGGAGGGCACCGGGUGCGGUUGCCCAGCUGGCUGGAAGCGAAGGAAGGGCGAUGGCGUGGAUUUCAGCGUGACGUCUGGGGGAAUGAGUGGUGGCUGCUGAAGGAGCUGAAGAGGAAGAACACCGUGGCAUGGACGGGUAUCCUGGAGAAGACAAUGGUAAAGCUCCUGCACGAUGAAUGUGCUCCAACCAGCAGGAGAAUGCAGGGACUGGUUCACUCUUCCCAGAACUAAAACCGGAAAACACAGAGUAGCACCAGACAUGAGUCUUUCAGUACUUAAAAGGGGCCUAUAAGAAAGAUGGGUGCAUAUGCCCUUUCACUACAUUGCUGUGCCACUCCACAGUGUGAUAACUGAUCUGUAUAUUUGUUUAUGCCAUAGAGUUACAGUAGCUCUCAUGUCAUCUUAUUCUGCUGCACAUUAUGUUAAAUUCAGGACAGUAGUAUAUGAACAGUAGGGACAAACUGAAGAAACUUCAGGAGAGAUUGACAGAAGCAACCUGAGAUUUAACAGAAAAGAGUCGGAAAUGUAUAUAUAUGCAACUACAUAAAAUGUAAGAUGUAUUUAUGGGGAUUUAGCCUUUGGCUGGAGCAAAUCAAGGUAUGUGCCUUUUCCCUAGUAAUGGCAGAAGAAUGUAAAAUAUAAUCCUAUACACGUGAAACAGAUACCUAGACAGUUCUGAAGAUAGGGCCAACAAGAUUUAUAAUACAAGCACUGGACACUACUUCUGCUAUAGCUUGUUAUACUUUACUUAGACUUAUGGGUGACUCCUCUCUAAUUUUGGACAUGAACCGUUCAGUCACUGAUAAGACUGAAAGGUAAAGGAUAAGCUUAUGACAGGUGACUUUUAAUCUGUGGAUUCCACACAAUAAAAUGAAAGUGGCAAACCAGUA
This is a long non-coding RNA of Columba livia (rock pigeon), 935 nucleotides long. RefSeq lists it as uncharacterized. The transcript has 2 exons. The record is from RefSeq and is a predicted model, not a curated record. NCBI's taxonomy places the organism in Eukaryota, Metazoa, Chordata, Aves, Columbiformes, Columbidae.